Molecule: ribosomal RNA, 730 nt
Filed under: uncultured Lactobacillus sp.
Lineage: Bacteria; Bacillati; Bacillota; Bacilli; Lactobacillales; Lactobacillaceae
Description: bacterial SSU rRNA
Rfam family: Bacterial small subunit ribosomal RNA
Source: RNAcentral
AACCGGAUUAGAUACCCUGGUAGUCCAUGCCNUAAACGAUGAGUGCUAAGUGUUGGAGGGUUUCCGCCCUUCAGUGCUGCAGCUAACGCAUUAAGCACUCCGCCUGGGGAGUACGACCGCAAGGUUGAAACUCAAAGGAAUUGACGGGGGCCCGCACAAGCGGUGGAGCAUGUGGUUUAAUUCGAUGCUACGCGAAGAACCUUACCAGGUCUUGACAUCUUCUGCCAACCUAAGAGAUUAGGCGUUCCCUUCGGGGACAGAAUGACAGGUGGUGCAUGGUUGUCGUCAGCUCGUGUCGUGAGAUGUUGGGUUAAGUCCCGCAACGAGCGCAACCCUUAUUGUUAGUUGCCAGCAUUCAGUUGGGCACUCUAGCAAGACUGCCGGUGACAAACCGGAGGAAGGUGGGGAUGACGUCAAAUCAUCAUGCCCCUUAUGACCUGGGCUACACACGUGCUACAAUGGACGGUACAACGAGUCGCGAAACCGCGAGGUCAAGCUAAUCUCUUAAAGCCGUUCUCAGUUCGGAUUGUAGGCUGCAACUCGCCUACAUGAAGUUGGAAUCGCUAGUAAUCGUGGAUCAGCAUGCCACGGUGAAUACGUUCCCGGGCCUUGUACACACCGCCCGUCACACCAUGAGAGUUUGUAACACCCAAAGCCAGUGAGGUAACCUUCGGGGACCAGCCGUCUAANGUGGGACAGAUGAUUAGGGUGAAGUCGUAACAAGGUAACC